Long non-coding RNA from Pezoporus occidentalis (night parrot), 697 nucleotides. RefSeq lists it as uncharacterized. The transcript is spliced from 2 exons. Lineage: Eukaryota; Metazoa; Chordata; Aves; Psittaciformes; Psittacidae. The record is from RefSeq and is a predicted model, not a curated record.
AAAUGUAACCAAAAACAGGGUAGAGAAAGAAGAGUGCUCAGAACUUAAAGGUGUGAUAAGCUGGUGGGGAACCCACAUCUAAGUGGCACACAAAUGUAGUACAUCCAGCAACAAGCUGACUUGUCUGAAGACCCAUGGUGACCAGGCAAACCCCAGGCAUUGGACACAUGGUACUGAGUGUUUGAAGUAUUCUCCUAGUGAUCCUUCUUUCUGUUUGCUGUUGACUGAAGCCAAAAUGUUGUACUGCUUGAUUUAAGACUUCUUUACAAUAAUACAUUCUGCUUGAUGCAUUUAUAUCCUGUAGUACAUUUUCCCAUGAAAUUCAGAACAUCCAUUUUGUGGAGUACAAGGCUCAUCAAAACCAAGGAAUUGCCAGUAAAAUCUCACACAAAAUACUAACAUAAGCUUUUAAUGCACAUAAAUUCAUACAUAGGCUUAGUUGUUCCCAACCAAGUGUUAUAAAUGCAAAUUUUGAACAAUUUCUUACUAAUGUCAGCUAAUUCACCAUCUAGACAUGUUUGGACACCAAAAAACAUUCAUAUUUUGAAUUCUAUUCUAAAUCUGUUUUUUGACAAGGUGGUAAAAUACAAAACAGAGACACAAAAUGUAGUUAAUGUUCAUUGGCAACAUAUUUCUAAAUAUGUUGUCACAACUCAAUUAACUUAUGUGAAAAAUAAAAAGACAAAGUGGAUUUAAA